RNAcentral lists this ribosomal RNA (234 nucleotides) under uncultured bacterium. RNAcentral describes it as "partial 16S ribosomal RNA". It matches the Rfam family "Bacterial small subunit ribosomal RNA", at positions 15 to 244 of the family's 1533-position model. The record is from RNAcentral.
GAUCAUGGCUCAGAUUGAACGCUGGCGGCAUGCUUUACACAUGCAAGUCGGACGGCAGCACAGAGAAGCUUGCUUCUUGGGUGGCGAGUGGCGAACGGGUGAGUAAUAUAUCGGAACGUACCGAGUAAUGGGGGGAUAACUAAUCGAAAGAUUAGCUAAUACCGCAUAUUCUCUGAGGAGGAAAGCAGGGGACCUUCGGGCCUUGCGUUAUUCGAGCGGCCGAUAUCUGAUUAG